CCUGUCUCUACUGAAAAUACAAAAAUUAGCUGGAUGUGGUGGUGCAUACCUGUAAUCCCAGCUACUUGGGAGACUGAGGCAGGAGAAUCACUUGAACCAGGGAGGCAGAAGUUGCAGUGAGCCAAGAUCUUGCCACUGCACUCCAGCCUGGGUGACCGAGUGAGACUCCAACUCAAAACUAAAUAAAUAAAAAAUAAAAAUAAAAAAACACAGAAAAGUGCUCAACAUCUGUAGAACCAGAGAAAUGCAAAUUAAAAUUACAGUGAGAUGCAGCCGGGCGCAGUGGGAGGCCGAAGCAGGCGGAUCAUGAGGUCAAGAGAUCGAGACCAUCCUGGCCAACAUGGUGAAACCCAUCUCUAAAAAUACAAAAAUUAGCCGGGUGUGGUGGUGCGUGCUUGUAGUCCCAGCUACUAGGGAGGCUGAAGCAGGAGAAUCGCUUGAACCCAGGAGGUUCCCAGGUUGAACCCAGCCUGGCAAAAGAGCAAGACUCCAUCUCAAAAAAAAAAAAAAAAAGAAAAAUUACAGAGAGUUGCCGGUACAUACCAGUUCAUCAAUGGUAGCAAACACAUCUCACGAAUGUAAGACGUUAAAUAAUCAGAGAAACUGUGUGCAGGCUGUAUGGAACUGUCACGAGACAACAUUGCAACAAAUUCAACUUAAAAAUCUUAAUUGGCUUUCAUUCACAAUUCUGAAAUUGGCUUAGAACCAGGACAAAUUCAGACCUGGAGCUGCACAACGUUCAUGGAAACGGAAGUGAUGCGCAGAGGCAGUUUUGGUGGUGGCCGCUGGGCACUUUGCCUUGAAAUCAGCGGCCACUGGCAACUGACAGCUGGCAGCUGCGGUGACCUGGACCCAGUCCCUGUGACAAGAGGCCAGCCUUCUGUGGCCUUCAGGCCAUGCCAGGCUGCAGUUUGCUGUAUGGACUCAUGCCCCAGGCCUCCUCGGUGAAAACUUAACAGGACUCUCGGGUUCAUUUUGAAACCUUUAUGUAAGUCUUAGCCGGGCACGGUGGCUCAUGCCUGUAAUCCCAGCACUUUGGGAGGCUGAGGCAGGUGGAUCAUGACGUCAGGAGUUUGAGACUAGCCUGACCAACAUGGUGAAACCCCGUCUCUACUAAAAGUACAAAAACUGGAGGCCGGGCACAGUGGCACAUGCUUGUAAUCCCAGCUACUCGGGAGGCUGAGGCAGGAGAAUCACUUGAACCCAGGAGAUGGAGGUUGCAGUGAGCUGAGAUCGCGCCAUUGUACUCCAGCCUGGGCAACAGAGCAAGACUCCAUCUCAGGAAAAAAAAAAAGAAGAGAAACCUUUAUGUAAGUCUAAAUCUAUUCUGAAAUUAAAAGUUGAUGUAAAAAUCUUUAAAACGUAGGCUGCAGUCACAUGGGGGGAAGCCAGAGGAGGGGGAAGAUGAGUGAAGCCCAGCUCUGCUCCUGGGAGCUGAAAGCACAGGUGUCAAAACACCAGCCGGGAGUGCGGCAGUGCAAGGCCUGGCCCUGCCUUCCCCAAGUGCUCAGGACAGAAUUUUCCAUCUGUUUUAUUUUUUAAAUUUUUAUUGAUUGAUUCAUUCAUUCAUU
RNAcentral lists this long non-coding RNA (1571 nucleotides) under Homo sapiens (human). RNAcentral's name for it is "HSALNT0156905". The record is from RNAcentral. Lineage: Eukaryota; Metazoa; Chordata; Mammalia; Primates; Hominidae.